RNAcentral lists this long non-coding RNA (300 nucleotides) under Chinchilla lanigera (long-tailed chinchilla). Its description in RNAcentral is "lncRNA (ENSCLAG00000027569.1)". The record is from RNAcentral. Lineage: Eukaryota; Metazoa; Chordata; Mammalia; Rodentia; Chinchillidae.
UGAAAACACUCACUCAGAUUGGUUUAAACACCUUUGCUAUAUUGUGCAACUGCCUUGAAAAGCCCCAUCAGCAUUACCAGCCUUUCAUUCGUUCAUCCAUGCUGCAUCACUCAGUGAAGGGACUCACUCUGGCAUACACUGUUUGAACAAGGGAAUCCUUGGCACCGUUCCGAAAUCCAGGGUGUGACUACUGGCAUUCCUUUCCAGGUAAGCUGGUAACAGCCUUUAAUAAUUCCUGUUAUCGAUAGCUGUCAAGAGGAACUUGCUCCAUUUGAUAACCACAAAAAUCCUGUCCUUUGC